UCCUAGCCCCGAUAGAAGUGAAAAUCCUUUUGUGGUCUCGUAAAGGACGAGACCACAAAAGAUUGCAACGGAUAGCGGGAUUAGCU
Molecule: small RNA, 86 nt
Filed under: Flavobacterium phragmitis
Lineage: Bacteria; Pseudomonadati; Bacteroidota; Flavobacteriia; Flavobacteriales; Flavobacteriaceae
Description: Flavo-1 RNA
Rfam family: Flavo-1 RNA
Source: RNAcentral